CCCCCCCCCCCCCCCCCCCAACCAAAGGAUAGCCGCGAGCCUUCGUUACUGUCACGUUGGUAGAUCACCCCAAGCUCUCACCAAGUACUUCCAGCGGGCGAGAGUAAAGGGGGGUGGCGAGGGGGGGUGCAAAACGAAAGAUAGCAAGCCCGCUCUAUCGAUCGACCGACCGAUCCCAAUUCAAGUCGCUGAGAGAAAGGACAAGGGAAGGAAGAGACGAAGCGAGGGAGGUCGAAUUGGAUAGCUCCCGAUCGAAGCGCUCUCCGAGCUCCGCGGGACCGCAGAGCGGAUCGCCGCCCGCUUCCGUCCCAGAAUUGCGGCGUUUGACGAGAGUUUUCUUGAGCUACAAUGUGCUGAGGUGGGUUUUCAUUUUGGUUGUUUCUCGUUGUCUUAGGGUUUUCGAUCUCCGUCUCUGAGAAUUGCGUCUGCGAGUUAGCGUCUUUGGACGGGUUUUCAACUCGGAGUCUCCGUGUUGAGGGCGCCUUCUUGAUCUCGCCUUGCUUUAGGGUUUUCCCGGUGGGAGAUGAUGUUCGCGCCUGCAUUGCUCCCUCUCAGGCGGUCGGCAUUGAGGAUAUGUUCAAUUCUCUGUAAAAGAAGGUGCAAACCCUAAUCUUGACUGAAACCCAAGAUAUAGAAUAGGAUCAGCGGAAGAAGAGGUUAAAUUCUUGGUGGUUGUCAAUAUGGACACUGUUCACUGAGAGAUGCAGCCGUUGCCACUGCCGCAGCUUUCGCCACAACCGUCAUACUCUCGGACCAACCUCAAUGACCUCAAGUCACAGAUAGCAAAGCGAUUAGGCACGGAGCGAGCACAGCGCUACUUCAUCUAUCUGAAUGGGUUGUUAUCACAGAAGAUGAGCAAGCUCGAGUUCAACAGGCUUUGCCUUCCGACUCUGGGCCGUGAGAAUCUCCCCUUGCACAACCAACUCAUCCGAUUGAUCCUUGAAAAUGCCUGUCGAGCUAAAGUUCCACCACCAGUCAAUCAGGAGAAGGGUGUGCAGAAGCGGGUUGUAGAUGUGCUGAAGAGAACCCCUCAGAUCGAUGAUGGAUUCAAUUCAUUACGUGCCCCGAUUACAUCGUUGCCCAGCUCAUCAAAUGGCCGGCAUGCCAAAGAUUAUGCAGGCCAUCUCGGACCAAAUGGGAGAGCAGAGAUUGCUUCCUAUAAGUUUGUGGCACCUUACGAUGAGAUUGUCAGCAGGGAGAAUGGUGACUUCAUUCCAUCUGGAUCAAGGAGGCUGCAGCAUCAGCAAGUUGGUCCUGCAGAGCGACAGGCAAAGAGACCACGGUUGGAUAACCCAUCACUGCAUUACCAGGGUUCUGUGAAUGACAAGGGGUUGGUUGAAGUAGCAACUGUGGACGAUCUGGAUAGACUGGACCACUUGGACUCCUGCAGAGGAUCUCUUCGGGCCCCACUUGGCAUUCCAUUUUGUUCUGUGAGCACUGGUGGGGCAAGAAGCCGUCCACUGUCAACAGCCGGUGCUAGCAGUGGUGGGUUCGGUAGCAUCUAUGGUCGUGGUGAACUGUUCCAUACUGAGAUUUUGAAGAAACGGAUGGAGCAAAUAACUGAAGCACAGGGAUUGGGAGGAGUAUCUAUGGAUUGUGCCAAACUACUAAAUAAUAGUUUGGAUGCUUAUUUGAAGCUGCUGAUUAGGUCAUGUGUUGAGCUAGUUGGAGCAAGAACUGGAAAUGGACUAACAAAAAGGCCAGUCUCCAGAUUGCAGCUAUAUAGGAAUUCUAUUGUUGAUAGUUUUGUUGGAAACAAUAUCAAAAUGCAAAUUGUAGGUGGACCUUCAGAAGGCACACAUGAACUGAAAAACAGCUGUUUGAUAUCUAUGCAGGAUUUUAGGGUAGCGAUGGAGCUAAAUCCACAACAACUUGGAGAGGACUGGCCCUUGCUACUUGAGAAAAUAUGUAUUCGUUCAUGUGAAGAAUAAGACAAGCCCAGUUAAAGUUUUUGGUUUGUGAAAAUUGUUGGUAGCUGGAUUGCUCCGGUGACUGAGAGCUAAAGGUGUCUAUGUGGGCAUUAAAACUUCUCAGCUUUAGGAUACACUUUGGCAGGUUUUGUGGGAUCAGAACAAAGAAAUCCCAUUAGAUCCAGCGUUUAUGAAGGGUGUCUCCAAUGGUACCACGAAUCUCAAGCAUAAUUGUAACUCCGAACAUGGAGGACCCAAAGGCAGUUUUGCAGGAAUUUCAUUUGUAACUUCUGUAAGUUCGGAGGUAGCAGUGUGUGUAUUAUCAAUUGGCAGAAUGCUUGGUUGAUUUACAA
This is an RNA transcript of Musa acuminata AAA Group (dessert banana), 2263 nucleotides long. RefSeq lists it as uncharacterized. The transcript has 3 exons. Lineage: Eukaryota; Viridiplantae; Streptophyta; Magnoliopsida; Zingiberales; Musaceae. The record is from RefSeq and is a predicted model, not a curated record.